This 198-nucleotide ribosomal RNA is filed under the name uncultured bacterium. Its description in RNAcentral is "partial 16S ribosomal RNA". It matches the Rfam family "Bacterial small subunit ribosomal RNA", at positions 328 to 539 of the family's 1533-position model. The record is from RNAcentral.
ACGCUCGACACCUACGGGAGGCAGCAGUGGGGAAUAUUGCACAAUGGGGGAAACCCUGAUGCAGCGACGCCGCGUGGGUGAAGAAGUAUUUCGGUAUGUAAAGCCCUAUCAGCAGGGAAGAAGAUGACAGUACCUGACUAAGAACGCCCCGGCUAACUACGUGCAAGCAGCCGCGGUAAUCUGAGCGGGCUGGCAAGC